GACGGGGGAUGCAAGCGUAAUCCGGAAUCACUGGGCGUAAAGCGUCUGUAGGUGGUGAUGCAAGUCACUGGUGCAAAACUCUGGCUCAACCGGAGGAAAGCCAGUGAAACUGCAUGACUAGAGUGUGGGAGAGGUAGAAGGAAUUCCCUGAGUAGCGGUGAAAUGCGUAGAUACAGGGAAGAACACCGGAGGCGAAAGCGUUCUACUGGAACACAACUGACACUGAGAAGCGAAAGCCAGGGGAGCGAAUGGG
Molecule: ribosomal RNA, 253 nt
Filed under: uncultured bacterium
Lineage: Bacteria
Description: partial 16S ribosomal RNA
Rfam family: Bacterial small subunit ribosomal RNA
Source: RNAcentral